This 274-nucleotide ribosomal RNA is filed under the name uncultured bacterium. Its description in RNAcentral is "partial 16S ribosomal RNA". It matches the Rfam family "Bacterial small subunit ribosomal RNA", at positions 334 to 625 of the family's 1533-position model. The record is from RNAcentral.
UUUCCCUACGGGGCGCAGCAGUGGGAAUAUUGGGCAAUGGGCGCAAGCCUGACCCAGCGACGCCGCGUGAGGGAAGACGGUCUUCGGAUUGUAAACCUCUUUCAGCAGGGAAGACAAAAGGACGGUACCUGGGGAGGAAGCUCCGGCUAACUACGUGCCAGCAGCCGCGGUAAUACGCAGGGAGCGAGCGUUGUCCGGAAUUACUGGGUGUAAAGGGAGCGUAGGCGGGACUGCAAGUUGGGUGUCAAAUCUACCGGCUCAACCGGUAGCCGCA